Molecule: ribosomal RNA, 785 nt
Filed under: uncultured Sphingobacteriales bacterium
Lineage: Bacteria; Pseudomonadati; Bacteroidota; Sphingobacteriia; Sphingobacteriales
Description: bacterial SSU rRNA
Rfam family: Bacterial small subunit ribosomal RNA
Source: RNAcentral
UACUGCAAGUCGAGGGGCAGCGGGGGUAGCAAUACCUGCCGGCGACCGGCAAACGGGUGCGGAACACGUACACAACCUUCCUUUAAGUGGGGGAUAGCCCAGAGAAAUUUGGAUUAAUACCCCGUAAAAUUAUAGAGUGGCAUCACUUAAUAAUUAAAGCUCCGGCGCUUGAAGAUGGGUGUGCGUCUGAUUAGGUAGUUGGUGCGGGUAACGGCCCACCAAGCCUACGAUCAGUAACUGGUGUGAGAGCACGACCAGUCACACGGGCACUGAGACACGGGCCCGACUCCUACGGGAGGCAGCAGUAAGGAAUAUUGGUCAAUGGACGCAAGUCUGAACCAGCCAUGCCGCGUGGAGGAUGAAGGUCCUCUGGAUUGUAAACUUCUUUUAUCUGGGAAGAAAUGCAUUUUUUCUAAAGUGUUUGACGGUACCAGAUGAAUAAGCACCGGCUAACUCCGUGCCAGCAGCCGCGGUAAUACGGAGGGUGCAAGCGUUAUCCGGAUUCACUGGGUUUAAAGGGUGCGUAGGUGGGCAGUUAAGUCAGUGGUGAAAUCUCCGGGCUCAACCCGGAAACUGCCAUUGAUACUAUCUGUCUUGAAUAUCGUGGAGGUAAGCGGAAUAUGUCAUGUAGCGGUGAAAUGCUUAGAUAUGACAUAGAACACCAAUUGCGAAGGCAGCUUACUACCCGAAUAUUGACACUGAGGCACGAAAGCGUGGGGAUCAAACAGGAUUAGAUACCCUGGUAGUCCACGCCCUAAACGAUGGAUACUCGACAUACGCGAUAC